Paramisgurnus dabryanus is the source of this 674-nucleotide non-coding RNA. Lineage: Eukaryota; Metazoa; Chordata; Actinopteri; Cypriniformes; Cobitidae. The record is from RefSeq and is a predicted model, not a curated record.
CGCGGGUCUCGCAGCCGGACGCUCGCUAUCUCUCUCUUUGUGCUCAUGCAGCAGCCCAGGGGCGUCGCACCCGUGGGGGAUGUGGGUGUUUUAACAUCCACACUUUUCCCAGUGAGAGGGUUCAACACCCACACUUUUUAUGCAGUUUUGCAAGAACGCCUUAUUAAAGUCGCUCCUCCAUUUCUCUCUCUGGCCGCUCUCUGUCUGCUGCGCUGCCCUGCAUUCUCUCCCCCUCCCCUCUCAAACAUGACGCCGGCUUUGAGUGUUACCGGCUGAUGAUUGGCUGUUCUGCCUUAAGUCCCGCCUCUCUUGGUGGGUUAGAUUGAUCGGUCAGCUCGCGCUGAGGAGGCGGGAACUUUGUUUAUUUACAUCUCCCUUUUUCAGUAUCAAUAAGAUACAGAAAAGAAAGAGGCAGGAGAAGAUUGACACCUUUUUCAAGAGAAAUCCUGAGAUGAGGUUGCUGGAGGCAUCAGUUUAAAGAGAGAGAGAGACACAGAAAGUUUCACAGGUGAGCAAUGAAAAAUGAAUGUUACAGUUUGUGAAAGAGGUCUAUGAAGGAAGAGAGGGUGUGUUUGUGUCAUGGGUGGUGCUUAAUUCCAUCCCAGGUGCACAUACGCGUGUUUCUGGUGCGUUUAUAUCAAAUUUAAAAUGAUAUAUAUCCAUCCCCCACACUU